UCCUCUCAUUUUCCACGGGUCCGAGCAAAUGAGAAAUUUUAGAACACUUUGCACUCUUUUCUCUUAAGAAAAGAACUAGGAAGCUCCCUUGAGUCUUUCUCUUGAGUCCACAGGUUCACACACACUAAAAGAAAGAUAAGUCUCCAUUUUAUCUCUUAUUUGACUCUUUCAAAGCAACUACAACAAUCAAGAACUCUUUCCCUCUUUCAUUCUCAUGAGUCCAACACCAAAAGAAGGAAAAGCUCUCAACUCUUUUCUCCCUUUCACACCUAUGAGUCCAGCAACAAGGAAAAAUGUUUCUUUCAAUUCUUCUCAAGAUUUUGUACCCAACUUGAAGCUAAAGUGAUUCUAGCUCUAUCACUCCAAGAAUCCAUGUCUAGGUUAGCAGGUUUUAUUUUGGAGCAGAGGGAGUUUUAGUCGAGUUUGGAAGGAGCUAGUUUUAGUUUAUAUGUAUAGAUCCUAAAUUAGUAAUAUGAUGUUUAGAUUUGUAGUAUGGUGUAUUUUAGGAUCUAAUGAAAGUUGUGUACCUUAAAGUAUUAAGAGAUGUAUUAUGUGAAAGUGUGGAAAUUGAAUGACUGAUGGUUUAUGUUA
Long non-coding RNA from Quercus robur (English oak), 591 nucleotides. RefSeq lists it as uncharacterized. The record is from RefSeq and is a predicted model, not a curated record. The transcript is spliced from 2 exons. Lineage: Eukaryota; Viridiplantae; Streptophyta; Magnoliopsida; Fagales; Fagaceae.